UUCAUCCUAAGAUUUGAUAUUUUUGGUUUAGAAUCAUCAUCAUUUACUGAUUUAAUGCCAUCAUUCAUUAUAUUCUACAGCUAUAGGUACCUGAUCCAGUCUUGUUUGAUCUCGUGUGUCAGGUCUUUGCUGAUCUACUUGAGGUUCUUUAGCUGCCGAAAUAAAAACAGCAUCACUACAGCAUGGUACAUUCAAACCAAACUGAAUCCAGGUUUCUUAAUGUGAUAAACCACAAGAGAGGAGAGGAGAGAGGAGAGAACAGCUAACGCUGGACACAGAGAGAACAGCAGACUCCAGCAGACACCACAGUCUGGACCAGUGGUCUCAUGGUGAUCAGGGUUGCUGGAGUCUGAAAAGUUUCAAAAACAAAGUGGUAUCGAUUCAUUUAACCCUGAUCUCACAAAAAUGUCUAAAUGAAAAGUUUUGCGUGUAUGUGGACGUAAGUGUAGUAGUUAUUUCGUGACCCCAGGAACCAAAAAAAAAAUAAAUACUCUGUUGGAUUUAAAUUAAAUUGAAA
This is a long non-coding RNA of Micropterus salmoides (largemouth bass), 517 nucleotides long. RefSeq lists it as uncharacterized. The record is from RefSeq and is a predicted model, not a curated record. Lineage: Eukaryota; Metazoa; Chordata; Actinopteri; Centrarchiformes; Centrarchidae. The transcript is spliced from 2 exons.